This 1776-nucleotide ribosomal RNA is filed under the name Triticum aestivum (bread wheat). Its description in RNAcentral is "partial small subunit ribosomal RNA". Lineage: Eukaryota; Viridiplantae; Streptophyta; Magnoliopsida; Poales; Poaceae. The record is from RNAcentral.
AUGCAACAAAGUAUUUCAACUUUUUAUUCAUCAGCAAAUAACUUGCAGUAUGUUAAUUCAAACAUGUCGGUGGAUAGGGGAAUUGGCCAUGUUACUACUAGUGAUUCGGCCAAUUACCCUCAAACAUCGUAUGCUACACCUCAUGCUACGAAUUUUUCGUCACCAUACGCAAUUGUAGAUAUUCGUGAUUUGGCUCCGCACCUUCAUGCUCAUGGCCGAAUAAGUGAGAAUUCUACCAGAGCGCAUGUGUCUUUACCUAGUAACGUAGCAUAUCAUGUUGCCCCUGCACAAUUACAAAAUUUCGGCAACACACCAUUGCCGAAAGUGUCUCAAAGUAUUGGGGGGCAACCCGAUGAAGAUUGGGCUGAAAUUGGUCGAAAAAAGCUUAAAGAUAGACUAGCUGCAAUAUUUGCUGAAUUUAGACAAGAACAAGCAACCUUGCGAAUCAAAGAAAGAAAGAGUGGUGAUUCAGAUAACAAAGUUAAUUCGGUUAUUAAAAAAUCCGAAUCAAAUAGUAUGUGUACCGAAUCUAUCAAAGAAAAAGAGGAUGCCAAGGCAUUAGAGAGUCAUUCAAAAGUGGAACAAAGUAUUAUUCAAGUGAUACAACCAUCAUGCUCUCCCAACGUAAUUGAAGAGGUAUGUCCAGCAAGUGACUUGUCUAUCUUCCGAUUUGGUCGCAACUUUAUUGUCGAUGCUUUUAUAAGAAAAAUUCUCAUAAGUAAUGUUGAAAGACCAAUGAAGAAGCGUAAUUUACUUGUUAGCAACAAAAUUGUUAUAGACUAUAUUGGUCAACCCAUUGCACCAUUUAUAAAGACCGAUAAUGACUUAUUGUUGUGGCCAAAGCUUUCCCCGUUGCUUUAUCUAAAAUUCAUAUCUAGUUGGGUAGUUUUGCUUAUUUCUUACUUGGCUUGCACUUUGUCUCAAUUGAGACAUGUGUGUUCUAAAAAUUUUCGUAUUGGAAGUUUAAAGCCAAGGUUAAUUUCUUUUGAGAAAUCCGAUGCUAAUAUAAUAUCUUAUCCAAAGACACCGGAGAUAGAAUGGAAAACACAAUGUAUAGUCGAAUGGGAAGAUUCCAAAUCUGAACCAUUCGUUUGCUUAUCUUCAAAGCCGUUCACACAGCAAGAUCGGCUAGAAAGCAAGAAGUUUACCUUCAAUUCAAGCACGUGUGACCAAAUAUUUGAUUUAUUGCUAAAAAAUAAUUACAUAAGAAUUCUUGAUCACCAUGUCAAGCCAUCAAUUCAAGGACGAAUGUAUUGUAGGUUAUAUCAUUCGUUCAAACAUAAUUUUGAGGAUUGCAAUAUGUUUCGUCAAAUAGUUAAAUCGGCCAUUGAUAAAGGACGAUUGAAAUUUGUUGAGACACCAAGAGAUGACCAGUCUAUUCCGAUUGGUCUCGAUGGCAGAAAGUUUUUGCAUCGGCUGCUUCAAGCCGAUCCAUUUAAAGAGGAGGUAAAGACUGCAGGUGAUGGGGUCAAGCUUUCAAGUAAAAAAGUUGUUGAAGAGCAUAAUGAACAUAAUUUUGAGGGCAAGAAUUCCAUCGAAUCUACAAUGAAGACGCCAAGGAGUGGGGGGCAACAAGCAAAUCCAAUGAUUGGUGCAAGCACAACCAAACGAAACAAAGGCCAAAAUAAGCGCAAGUGUAAGAGAUCAAAAAUCACCUUUGCUGAACUAUUGGAUAAAUAUCAAAAGAAGAGUGAAGAGAAGAAUACUUAUCGGCCAAAUCAUGCAAAGAAACCAAGAUCACCCCCAAGGCGCAAAUAUGAGGAUCGGUAUUGGUAA